AUACUUACUUGGUGUUGGGUUUGCGAUGAUCACUAAGAUCGCAACUCCGUGCUGAGGCCUUCCAUUGCACUGCGGGAGGCUGAAGCGCGCCUCCUUCCCCAAACUGGGGUCGGAGGAGCAUUCAAUUUUUGGUAGUGGGGCUGGCGUAUACGCGCCAGCCCCGG
Small nuclear RNA from Rhipicephalus sanguineus (brown dog tick), 164 nucleotides. RefSeq annotates it as U1 spliceosomal RNA. The record is from RefSeq and is a predicted model, not a curated record. The transcript has a single exon. Lineage: Eukaryota; Metazoa; Arthropoda; Arachnida; Ixodida; Ixodidae.